UACAGAGGUCUCAAGCGUUGUUCGGAUUCAUUGGGCGUAAAGGGUGCGUAGGUGGCGCCGUAAGUCAGGUGUGAAAUUUCGGAGCUUAACUCCGAAACUGCAUUUGAUACUGCGGUGCUUGAGGACUGGAGAGGAGACUGGAAUUCACGGUGUAGCAGUGAAAUGCGUAGAUAUCGUGAGGAAGACCAGUGGCGAAGGCGGGUCUCUGGACAGUUCCUGGCACUGAGGCACGAAGGCCAGGGGAGCAAACGGG
Molecule: ribosomal RNA, 253 nt
Filed under: uncultured bacterium
Lineage: Bacteria
Description: partial 16S ribosomal RNA
Rfam family: Bacterial small subunit ribosomal RNA
Source: RNAcentral